CAGGUAGGACUACCCGCUGAACUUAAGCAUAUCAUAGGGAACGGGGGGAA
RNAcentral lists this ribosomal RNA (50 nucleotides) under Laccaria sp. RNAcentral describes it as "partial 28S ribosomal RNA". The record is from RNAcentral. Lineage: Eukaryota; Fungi; Basidiomycota; Agaricomycetes; Agaricales; Hydnangiaceae.